GAUGAACGCUGGCGGUAUGCUUAACACAUGCAAGUCGAACGGACUCUUCGGAGUUAGUGGCGGACGGGUGAGUAACGCGUGAGAAUCUGGCUUUGGGUUCGGGACAACCACUGGAAACGGUGGCUAAUACCGGAUGUGCCGAGAGGUAAAAGAGAAAUUGCCUGAAGAUGAGCUCGCGUCUGAUUAGCUAGUUGGUGAGGUAAAGGCUCACCAAGGCAGCGAUCAGUAGCUGGUCUGAGAGGAUGACCAGCCACACUGGGACUGAGACACGGCCCAGACUCCUACGGGAGGCAGCAGUGGGGAAUUUUCCGCAAUGAGCGAAAGCCUGACGGAGCAAUACCGCGUGAGGGAAGAAGGCUCUUGGGUUGUAAACCUCUUUUCUUAGGGAAGAACAAAAUGACGGUACCUAAGGAAUCAGCAUCGGCUAACUCCGUG
Molecule: ribosomal RNA, 435 nt
Filed under: uncultured bacterium
Lineage: Bacteria
Description: partial 16S ribosomal RNA
Rfam family: Bacterial small subunit ribosomal RNA
Source: RNAcentral